Molecule: ribosomal RNA, 404 nt
Filed under: uncultured bacterium
Lineage: Bacteria
Description: bacterial SSU rRNA
Rfam family: Bacterial small subunit ribosomal RNA
Source: RNAcentral
AACGAACGCUGGCGGCAGGCCUAACACAUGCAAGUCGAACGCCCUAGCAAUAGGGAGUGGCGCACGGGUGCGUAACGCGUGGGAAUAUACCCUUCACUGCGGAAUAACGUUUGGAAACGAACGCUAAUACCGCAUAAUGACUCCGGUCCAAAGAUUUAUCGGUGAAGGAUUAGCCCGCGUUAGAUUAGCUAGUUGGUGAGGUAAUGGCUCACCAAGGCUACGAUCUAUAGCUGGUCUGAGAGGAUGAUCAGCCACACUGGGACUGAGACACGGCCCAGACUCCUACGGGAGGCAGCAGUGAGGAAUAUUGGACAAUGGGGGCAACCCUGAUCCAGCCAUGCCGCGUGAGUGAAGAAGGCCUUCGGGUGUAAAGCUCUUUCAGUUGUGAAGAUAAUGACGGUAGC